UACGAAGGGGGCUAGCGUUGUUCGGAAUCACUGGGCGUAAAGCGCGCGCAGGCGGCUACACAAGUCAGAGGUGAAAGCCCGGAGCCUAACUCCGGAACUGCCCCUGAGACUGUCUGGCUUCGAGUACGGGAGAGGUGAGUGGAAUUCCGAGUGUAGAGGUGAAAUUCGUAGAUAUUCGGAAGAACACCGGUGGCGAAGGCGGCUCACUGGCCCGUUACUGACGCUCAGGCGCGACAGCGUGGGGAUCAAACAGG
Molecule: ribosomal RNA, 254 nt
Filed under: uncultured bacterium
Lineage: Bacteria
Description: partial 16S ribosomal RNA
Rfam family: Bacterial small subunit ribosomal RNA
Source: RNAcentral